Molecule: transfer RNA, 378 nt
Filed under: Trichonephila clavipes
Lineage: Eukaryota; Metazoa; Arthropoda; Arachnida; Araneae; Nephilidae
Description: alanine tRNA
Source: RNAcentral
UUCUGCUUAAUGUCAAUUUCAUUAACAUUGUAAACCACCUUCCACUGUCUAUUCCUUUUGAUGACUAAGUGUGUGAUAUUUUUCUUAUUGUGAUAAAUACUAUGAAUACAGCAAAAUUCAUCAAUGUAUUUACUUUCUGCUUAAACUCAAUUUGAUUAAUAUUGUAAAUAAUCUUCCGCAUUCAAUUUCUUUUGAUGACAAAAAGUCUGAUAUUUCUCUUUGUGUGAUAAAUAUCAAGAAUCAAGCAAAAUUCGUCGAAUUACUUCAAAAUCUUUCCGAACGUUCUCUCUCUGUGUGUGUCACCUAUUUCCUCAAUUCUAGUUUCUCAGCAAAAAUUUUAACUGUCCCAUUUACAGUAUGAUCUUGUGUGAGACUUAA